GCCGGAGUGGCGGAAUUGGUAGACGCGACAGUCUCAAAAACUGUUGCUCCGCAAGGGGCGUGUCGGUUCGAUCCCGACCUUCGGCACCA
Molecule: transfer RNA, 89 nt
Filed under: Chloroflexota bacterium
Lineage: Bacteria; Bacillati; Chloroflexota
Also listed under: 1 other name
Description: tRNA-Leu
Rfam family: tRNA
About the family: Transfer RNA (tRNA) molecules are approximately 80 nucleotides in length. Their secondary structure includes four short double-helical elements and three loops (D, anti-codon, and T loops). Further hydrogen bonds mediate the characteristic L-shaped molecular structure. tRNAs have two regions of fundamental functional importance: the anti-codon, which is responsible for specific mRNA codon recognition, and the 3' end, to which the tRNAs corresponding amino acid is attached (by aminoacyl-tRNA synthetases). tRNAs cope with the degeneracy of the genetic code in two manners: having more than one tRNA (with a specific anti-codon) for a particular amino acid; and 'wobble' base-pairing, i.e. permitting non-standard base-pairing at the 3rd anti-codon position.
Source: RNAcentral